This 464-nucleotide unclassified non-coding RNA is filed under the name Hevea brasiliensis (rubber tree). The record is from RNAcentral. Lineage: Eukaryota; Viridiplantae; Streptophyta; Magnoliopsida; Malpighiales; Euphorbiaceae.
GUGAGAGGAAUUGGGCACUAGCUUGUAGCUACAAUUACUUUAAUUUCUAAUGUUUAUGGACCCCAUCGAUAAUUUUAAUAUAAGUGUUCAGCUAAUCCACCUGCAUGUAAUUUCCACACUAGAAAUGCUCAAAGUGAAGUACGAGGAAUGCACAACUUAGUUGCUCUAAACAAAUAAUCAUCAUGAAUGACAAAGCCAAUAAGAUCACAAUAAUAUACCAAAAUUAGGAUAAGUAGAAUACUCACCAUUCAAUUACCUGUGCAGUGCACUCAUCACAUGAAGAGUAGUAGCUAUGACUAAGUGCAUUAGCAACUUUAUUUUCAACACCAGAAUGAUAUUUAAGAACAAAAGAGUAUUCAUUCGGAAACUCAAUCUAACCAACAUGUCUAGAAUUUAAUUUCUUUUGAGAAUCAAAUAUCUUAAUUUAAUUCUUGAUGGUCAACAAAUAGAACAAAUUCUUGUGG